CCUAAAGGCGCAAUGAAAGUGAAGGUCGGCCUUAGCGUCNAUCNAGGGAGGAUGGCAUGGGUUUGCUCAAGUCCGCACUCCCGGGGCGUCUCACGGUCGUUUCGACCAUAGGCGCACCCAGAGCGUACACGUUGGGACCCCAAAGAUGGUGAACUAUGCCUGGUCAGGACAAAGUCAGGGGAAACCCUGAUGGAGGUCCGUAGCGAUUCUGACGUGCAAAUCGAUCGUCNGAACUGGGUAUANGGGCGAAANACNAAUCGAACCAUCUAGUAGCUGGUUCCCUCCNAANUUUCCCUCACGAUAGNUGGCACUCGCUCGAUAGCGAGUCUCAUCUGGUAAAGCGAAUGAUUANAGGCCUUGUUGGCUGAAANACCUCAACCUAUUCUCANACUUUAAAUGGGUGAGAUCUCUGGNUUGCUUGAACGUUGAAGCCAUGAUAUCGCGUUUCGAUGUGCAAAAACACACAAAAGCGCCUCACGGAUCAAAGUGCCAAGUGGGCCAAUUUUGNUAAGCANAANUGGCUCUGUGNGAUGAACCAAACGCCNAUUUAA
Molecule: ribosomal RNA, 551 nt
Filed under: Dolichoris sp. 04 AC-2012
Lineage: Eukaryota; Metazoa; Arthropoda; Insecta; Hymenoptera; Agaonidae
Description: partial 28S ribosomal RNA
Rfam family: Eukaryotic large subunit ribosomal RNA
Source: RNAcentral